This 637-nucleotide long non-coding RNA is filed under the name Drosophila guanche. The record is from RNAcentral. Lineage: Eukaryota; Metazoa; Arthropoda; Insecta; Diptera; Drosophilidae.
AGUUAUAAUUUUACUUUGCUACCAACUAAAUUAUUCUUUGCCUAGUCCAGCAACCUCCCGAUAAAACCAAAGUAUGCUUUUGAUUAUAGUUUUUACGCAGCAAGUAUUUAAUUAUACACAGCCUCUGGCUGUUCAAUGAGCCACUUAGGCCACUUAUCUGAUUGAUUCGUACACAGAAAAGCUUGUGGCCAGUGUAUCCAAUGUUUGUGGGCUCUCAGAUUCGCUUCGUUCCCCGUUAAACCGUAAACAAAAUUCCCGCCAAUGUUUAUGUUUCAAUUUUAGAGCUAUACACGUAUGACAGCUGCCAGAAGUCUCUAGCGUAGAAACAGUGUUCAGAUACGCGGUAAAUCAACGCUCCAUUGACGACCCACUUUGCCCAAGGCAUCGACGGAUCAUCAUCUUGGGGAUCGUUAGCAUUAGCACGGUUUCAGCACAUUGGCAGCAGCCUCAACUGGCAUCGAUAGCUCAAUUCCAUCCAUGGCAGUGCAAUGCGAUGCUUCUAACCCAAUUCACGGGGCCAUGCAAAGUUUUUUCUGACAUCUGAUUGAACCGGCUCAGUGCUGGCUCUGGAUUUACGCUCCUCUGGCCACAACAUACACACAUACAGUAUGUAGGUUUUAUGCAUGUAUUUAUAGGG